This is a small nucleolar RNA of Caenorhabditis elegans, 142 nucleotides long. NCBI's taxonomy places the organism in Eukaryota, Metazoa, Nematoda, Chromadorea, Rhabditida, Rhabditidae. The record is from Ensembl.
AUUUUUCGUGUGAAAUUAUGAAAAAUCUCAACAAUUUUCUCAGAAAAUGUGAGAAAAACGGUGAAAAAUGGGUUUUUUCGUCGCUGUAAAAAUUAGCUCAAAAACCCCGGAAAAUUGGAGAAAAAUCCAAUUUUCGAGUCAU